Haliotis rubra (blacklip abalone) is the source of this 131-nucleotide long non-coding RNA. RefSeq lists it as uncharacterized. The transcript is spliced from 3 exons. The record is from RefSeq and is a predicted model, not a curated record. Lineage: Eukaryota; Metazoa; Mollusca; Gastropoda; Lepetellida; Haliotidae.
UGCAAUACUAUUGUAAUAGGUUUUUUUCUCCUUGAAUUGUCUCAUUUGAAGUCAUUUCUAAAAUGAAUGUAUAGUUUAUAUGAACUAUAAACAAGUUGAAAUAGUUUCAUUCACUUUUAAUAACUGACAAA